This is an RNA transcript of Helianthus annuus (common sunflower), 2486 nucleotides long. RefSeq lists it as uncharacterized. The transcript has 10 exons. Lineage: Eukaryota; Viridiplantae; Streptophyta; Magnoliopsida; Asterales; Asteraceae. The record is from RefSeq and is a predicted model, not a curated record.
UAUAUAUUAAUAAAGGAGAUGAUUUGGGCUAUUUGUCCUUGGAUGGUGAAGCCAAUUUGAUGAUGUGGCAUGUUAUGGUGGAUUAGAGGUUGAUUUUGGGAGGGAAUCCAUCUCAAUUCUCAAUACACAAACCAAAAUCAACUCUGGACGCGGGAUCCGACUACAUUUGGGUCACCCAUGUUUUCAAAUGGAUCAUAUAUAUUCCUUUUUAACGCUUUCUUCUCUCCCGUAACUUCAUUUUUCAGAAACCCUAAAUACCAAACAUUCUUCUCCUUCACGCUACAGGAUCCCAAUGUUCAUCCUUCUCCUUCUUCAACUUCUUUGAUCCAUCUGGUGGUUGAUUCUAUCAACAAACCCUAAUCGCCAAAUAUUGUCGUAUCAAUUCGGCACUUGGUUCUUUAAGGUGCUCCUUGAUCCAACUUCUUCUCAAGUGCCAGUGCCUCAUAAUGUCGUAUUAAUUAUCAGUUCUUCAAAGGGUAUUUUGAGAUUUAUUUUACGUACAUAUAAUGAGGGGCAUCUAUGCAUUCGGAAGGUACUGUCGAGAGUUUUAACUUUCUGUCAAAUUAUCAAAGCUCUUUGAAAAUCACCAAGUUGUAUGUGCACAUGGUAGAUGAAACUGGCCUUUUCAAUUGUCUCUGACUUGGUAUGCUAUUUUAUAAUUAAGAACUUGGUAUGCUAUUUAAUAAUUGUUUCUCAAUUUUAAGUGAAACAGUGCCAAAUAAAUGAAAAUUUUUCCCUUCUUUAGUUAAGGUUAAUAGAGUCAUGGCCGUAAUGGAACGUGCAAGGGCGAAGCUACAUAGGAGCCAGGGGAUACAGAUGGGUACCUAUCAUGGUUCAUUAAGUACUAAAGGUUUAUCAAAAACUCAACUUGGUGGUGUCAUAUUUUGUGCCAAUAAAACAAAAGUCAGCAAAUGCAUUUGCAAGAAACUCUUUGGUGAGUUAUCUAUUUCGACUGAUGAUUACUUUUUUUCUCAUGCAAAUCCUUCGUUCAUGGUUAACCUGUAGGUACUAUUGUUGCACUUAAUAAUUCUUUAGAUGAACUUAGAUAUGAUCAUGUGAAAUCAGUUUAUCUUCUUCUGCAAAGUCACCAAUAUGCACCUCCUUUUAACGGGUCAAAGAUGUGCGUAGAAACUUUGAUGACUUCCCAUGAAUGGUAUCCUCUUUAUUUCAAAUGGUUAAGCGAAAGCGUGAAUUAGAGGUGAUAAUCUCAACCUGGGUUAUGUGUAAUUUGUAAAUGGGUUGAUUGUUGUGUUUGAUACAUUUUUUUUUAUUUCUUUGUAGUUAAAUUGAAUUAAUAUGGCCACUCAUGUAUAUAUUGUGGUAAAUGUGAGAAUUCUAUGCAGUUUUUUUUUUUGUAAUUAAAUGAUACUCAUCCAUCAAGUUCAUUACUUGAACUCGUGCGAAUGCUUUGAAUGCUUUUUGAUGAUGAACAUUUGGGUUGGAAAACAAUCACGGAAUGUAGGAAGGCAAGUUUUUUUUUUACUACACAUAGUAUUAGCCAAAGUGUUGGAAAAGUCCUUCUGUUGAGCCGAUUUGACAGUGGAACGCCAUAUAAGGCCUCGAGGUAGUCUAAUCUGUUACUCUCUUUAAUUUCACGUACGUUUUCAUUUUUUUGUAUGUUAGUGAACUAGAUAUACAUGUAUUUUUUCCUGCCUCGAGGUUGACCCGUUUAUUUUCAACCAUAUAUCUUUGUUCAACUUAUUUGAUCUAUUAGAACAAAACAUAAUCUGAUUUGACCCAUUAUUAAUUACGUAAGUGAAUCACCAUUGCCGGCUCUAACCUGUAAUCCUUUUCUAUAGGGUUGUAUUCAUCAAGAAAAAGCUAGGGUGAUUCUGCAACAUUAUCAAUGAUUAUUGUAGGAAGAACUUGUGCAUGGAGAAAAAGGGCACUGGAGAUGGUAUUGUGAGCUAUGGAAUGGAUGAUGGGGAUGACAUUUAUAUGCUUUCUUGGACAUGCACCAUUAUUUGACCCCACAAUGUGUUGCGUAGCUCCUUAGGGUGUGCGUGUGCACUCCCCCUCCUAAUAAGGUAGACAUGCCAUUGGUUGGGAAACGGGUCAAAACGAGUAUUUGGGGUUGGUAUGGAAAGUCUCCCAUUGGAGUUGGUUUAAUCUAAAUGAAUGUAUUUAUGCCGGUUUAGAAGUUACUAAACUUAUCGGCUAUCUGUGCUUAUCUUCAUGUGUUCAAGCGAAAUUAUUCAAGAUUCGCAGCAGAUAUUCAACAAGUUUUAAGGCCUGAAAGACACCUUAAUGGUUCUACUUCGGUAUAACAAAGAACAAGCAGCUCUUUCAUAGUUCAUAUCUUUCCAAAGCAAACCGAGAGAAGCACCAGAUAAAUGCAACAUUUCUUUCAUUUCGGAAUAUAACAGUUAGUAGUCUAUGUAAUAUGUCAUUUUAUUUGCAUUUAUUUUAUUUAUAUACACAAUGUAAAGUAGACUUAUUCAAAGAUUGGCCACUUUAUUGUAUUUGACAUGAUUUAUGUAUCAAAG